Molecule: unclassified non-coding RNA, 432 nt
Filed under: Octopus sinensis (East Asian common octopus)
Lineage: Eukaryota; Metazoa; Mollusca; Cephalopoda; Octopoda; Octopodidae
Description: eF-hand calcium-binding domain-containing protein 10- like, transcript variant X3
Source: RNAcentral
AAUAUUGAACGCAUGCAAAGGAAGAUAAUGCAGAAGCUACGAAAUCGGAGUGAAGAAACAAAAUAUUUACUCGUGAAAAUUUUUAAAAGGUUAGUUUUGCAGUUGGAUUUUAUGUGGGGGCCUAUGCUGACCAAUAUUAUUCUUUACCAAAACUUCCUGGGCCAAUGGGUUUAUAUGAAAGAAUCAAAGUAGAAUUAGACAAAUACAAGAAAGAUAAGCCUGGACCUGGUAAAAGUUAAUAGAUGUCAGCUUAUUUCAGCACAUUUUACAGAAACUGAUUAACAUGAAAAACUUACAGAAAAAAAUUGUGAUAUUAAUGAUAUCACAGGAGUUGGUUAAGUUUCUUUUUCCUUUUAAUAAAUUUGAUUUUGUGAUGUUUUCAUAACUGUGAUAUAUAAAAAUAGGAGUAAAUAAAAGGAUUGUUUAAUGAAA